Molecule: non-coding RNA, 273 nt
Organism: Cinara cedri
Lineage: Eukaryota; Metazoa; Arthropoda; Insecta; Hemiptera; Aphididae
Source: the annotation of a GenBank genome assembly
AGGAGAAUAACGCGUCGUUUCGGAAUAAUAGGAUAGUUGGGAAAACAGACAGAUGCGCAGUAGCGGUGGUGCGACUCUCGAUGUGAAUGACGGAAAAGCGUACAAAUAGAAACGUGAAAGGUCGUUGUAAACCCGUCUUUGGACAAUGAUCUCUUGUAUUUAUCUCGUCCGUUUCAUUCUGUAUCACUACACUGGAUAUACAUAUUAUACAGCUUCACGGUCGAUCUCUGUAAAACAAUUUUCCAAAUUGAAAUACUAUUUUCGAUUAUUUCA